RNAcentral lists this long non-coding RNA (257 nucleotides) under Lathyrus oleraceus (garden pea). RNAcentral's name for it is "Pisum sativum (pea) long non-coding RNA (PSAT_LNC039049)". Lineage: Eukaryota; Viridiplantae; Streptophyta; Magnoliopsida; Fabales; Fabaceae. The record is from RNAcentral.
UUUCCUCAGCGAGUCAUCCUUGAUAUGUUCAUCUUAACCGAUGACGGAUGUUCUUUGUGUCAGAUUUUUAUUAUCUCCUUACCCAGUAACAGGUAGUAGAUAAUAAAUUUCUGCUACUCCUGUGUUGAGGUUUAUCUUCCCCAUUUGAGUUGAGUGCGCAUUUCCUUAGUGAAAUCGUUGUUCCCCUGCAUGAUUCGAGUACCUCAGUUUUAUAUUGACUUAUUUGUAUCCCCUGCAGAUGUUUGUUUCCCCGACUG